Molecule: ribosomal RNA, 460 nt
Filed under: uncultured bacterium
Lineage: Bacteria
Description: partial 16S ribosomal RNA
Rfam family: Bacterial small subunit ribosomal RNA
Source: RNAcentral
CCUACGUGGUGCAGCAGUGAGGAAUAUUGGUCAAUGGGCGCGAGCCUGAACCAGCCAAGUAGCGUGAAUGAUGACUGUCCUACGGGUUGUAAACUUCUUUUAUAAAGGAAUAAAGUGAGGCACGUGUGCCUUUUUGUAUGUACUUUAUGAAUAAGGAUCGGCUAACUCCGUGCCAGCAGCCGCGGUAAUACGGAGGAUCCGAGCGUUAUCCGGAUUUAUUGGGUUUAAGGGGAGCGUAGAUGGGUUGUUAAGUCAGUUGUGAAAGUUUGCGGCUCAACCGUAAAAUGGCAAUUGAUACUGGCAGCCUUGAGGACAGUUGAGGUAGGUGGAAUUCGUGGUGUAGCGGUGAAAUGCUUAGAUAUCACGAAGAACUACGAUUGCGAAGGCAGCCUACUAAACUGCCACUGACAUUGAUGCUCGAAAGUGUGGGUAUCAAACAGGAUUAGAUACCCCUGUAGUC